RNAcentral lists this ribosomal RNA (1307 nucleotides) under metagenome. RNAcentral's name for it is "bacterial LSU rRNA". It matches the Rfam family "Bacterial large subunit ribosomal RNA", at positions 1609 to 2925 of the family's 2925-position model. The record is from RNAcentral.
UUAGAAAAGCUCCUUUUCGUUUCCCUAGGUGCCCGUACCGUAAACCGACACAGGUGGGUGGGUCGAGUAGACCAAGGCGCGCGAGAGAAACCUCUCUAAGGAACUCGGCAAAAUAGCCCCGUAACUUCGGGAGAAGGGGUACCCACUUCGGUGGGUCACAGUAAAUUGGGUUUAGCGACUGUUUAACAAAAACACAGCACUCUGCCAAGUUGUGAAAACAACGUAUAGGGUGUGACACGUGACCAAUGCGGAAAGAUCAAGGUGACUUGUUAGCCGCAAGGCGAAGCUCGGAGCCAAAGUCCCCGUGAAUGUCGGCCGUAACUAUAACGGUCCUAAGGUAGCGAAAUUCCUUGUCGGGUAAGUUCCGACCUGCACGAAUCGUGUAACGACUGAACCGCUGUCUCGGAGAGGAUCUCGGCGAAAUUGUAACGGCGGUGAAGAUGCCGCCUGCCCGCAGUAGGACGGAAAGACCCUAUGCACCUUUACUGUAAGCUGGUAUUGUGUUCUGAUUAAUGAUGCGUAGCGUAGGUGGGAGACUUUGAAGCCAUGGUUUCGGUUGUGGCUGAGUCGCAAUGUGAAACACCACUCUUUGUUAAUUAGGAUUCUAACCCUAUGCUGUUAGCCAGCUAGGGGACAGUGCCUGCGGGUCAGUUUGACUGGGGCGGUUUCCUCCCAAAGGGCAACGGAGGAGCGCUAAGGUACUCUCAGCAUGGUUUGCAACCAUGCGUCGAGCGUAUGGGUAGAAGAGUGCUUAACUGCGAGACCAACAAGUCGAGCAGAUACGAAAGUAGGCCCAAAUGAUCCGAUGGUUGAAUAUGGAAUUGCCAUCGCUCAACGGACAAAAGGUACGCUAGGGAUAACAGGCUGAUCGGAUCCAAGAGUUCAUAUCGACGAUCCGGUUUGGCACCUUGAUGUCGGCUCAUCGCAUCCUGGGGCUGGAGAAGGUCCCAAGGGUCCGGCUGUUCGCCGGUUAAAGCGGUACGCGAGCUGGGUUCAGAACGUCGUGAGACAGUUCGGUCCUUAUCCACUGUGGGCGCAGGAAACUUGAGGGGUUCAUUCUCUAGUACGAGAGGACCGAGAAUGACGCACUUCUGGUGUGGCAGUUGUUCCGUCAGGGGCAGCGCUGCUUAGCCAUGUGCAAGAGAUAAGCGCUGAAAGCAUCUAAGUGCCAAGCUCAUCCCAAGAUAUUGUUUCCCGGACGCAAGUCCCUAAAGACUCCAUGUAGACCACGUGGUUGAUAGGUCAGGCGUGUAAGUGCCGCAAGGUACUCAGCGGACUGAUACUAAUUAGUCGUGCGGCUUGAUCGC